RNAcentral lists this unclassified non-coding RNA (297 nucleotides) under fungal sp. RNAcentral describes it as "partial internal transcribed spacer region". The record is from RNAcentral. Lineage: Eukaryota; Fungi.
AAAGUCGUAAAAACCUGCGGCUGGAUCAUUAAUCAUUAAAAAGGAACCGUGCGUUCGAUGGUCGCCUACCCCCUCUAAAAAGGAUACAGUCAGCCAGCAAAAAGUAGCGGACACUUGUUAUAAAUUGGUUAUAUUUUUUGUCCGCUGCUUUUUCCUCACUGACUGUAUUAUGGGGCGGCAUGGUCGCGUAGGUUUCUCUUCAAAGACACCCGGGCCUCCCACAUCAUAUAGCCAUACAUCACAGGAGGUGGAACAAGCUAGUAAUAACAACGUUCUCCUUACGAUGAAGAACGCAGC